CUUUAUCUACAGAUUAAUAGGCUGAAACACCAACACCAUGAUUUUCAGACCCUACCAACUCUAUAAUUCUAUAAGAUCCAAUACCUGCUAGAUUGUUCCACAACACCAAUGUCCAAGUCAAUACCAUAUAUUAUCCACUGAAAUGUCUGAUUUAAUAUCAUAUGCAAAAUCAUUAGAGCAAUGUGCUCUCCUUUACCCAUAUUGUGUACCACAGAACAUUAUGAACAUUAGGGGAGGAUUAGCCUGUAGCUAUUUUAGAUCGUGCACCAAAUACUUAGAACAAGGUUGAAAUCCGCAAGAGUCGUAUAGAAAUUUCUGCAAUCAAUAUCAUACCUGAUCCAUGUACGGCAGCCUCUAAAUAAGCAACAUAAGUCCACAGUCCAUAAGUAUGUAGGCUACGCUCCAAUUUGAUGUAUCAUGCAAUUUUGCAAUACUCGGAUAGUUUUGUAAAGCAUACAGAUACUGCAUUGGAGGGCUAUAAGCUUCAUUAAUCAGAAAAUAUGUAGACCGCAGCUGAGAUCGUAACUAAGUGACACAACACAUGGUACGAUAGCUAAAGGAGAG
Molecule: long non-coding RNA, 564 nt
Filed under: Triticum aestivum (bread wheat)
Lineage: Eukaryota; Viridiplantae; Streptophyta; Magnoliopsida; Poales; Poaceae
Description: long non-coding RNA (TAES_LNC007430)
Source: RNAcentral